Molecule: ribosomal RNA, 429 nt
Filed under: Verrucomicrobiota bacterium
Lineage: Bacteria; Pseudomonadati; Verrucomicrobiota
Description: Verrucomicrobia bacterium partial 16S ribosomal RNA
Rfam family: Bacterial small subunit ribosomal RNA
Source: RNAcentral
UAGGGAAUCUUCCGCAAUGGACGAAAGUCUGACGGAGCAACGCCGCGUGAGUGAAGAAGGAUUUCGGUUCGUAAAACUCUGUUGUUAGGGAAGAAAAAAUGUAUAGUAACUAUAUACAAAAGAGACGGUACCUAACCAGAAAGCCACGGCUAACUACGUGCCAGCAGCCGCGGUAAUACGUAGGUGGCAAGCGUUGUCCGGAAUUAUUGGGCGUAAAGCGCGCGCAGGUGGUUUAGAAAGUCUGAUGUGAAAGCCCACGGCUCAACCGGUGAGGGUCAUUGGAAACUAAUAAACUUGAGUGCAGGAGAGAAAAGUGGAAUUCCGAGUGUAGCGGUGAAAUGCGUAGAGAUUAGGAGGAACACGGGUGGGGAAAGCGGCUUUUUGGCAAGCAAAUGACACUGAGGCGCGAAAGCGUGGGGGGCAAACAGG